UCAUCCACUUCUCCUCCAUCACUGUCCUCCACUGCUCUCUCUGUGUUGUCAUUUCUUAAAUUGAUCUGUGGGUUCUUACUGGUGUUACUGGUUCUGUUAGGGAGACCAUGUGUUCACAGAAAACCUGAAGCUGAUGGGGGAGACUUUAGAAAUGGCAUCACGUCCAGUCACAGAAAAUCUCAAGUCAUCAACAACAGCCAAUCAGAAGAAGCAGAGAGAGUGAUCCAGCUGUUGUCCACUCAGCCCUGAGAACUGAAGACAUCAUUUAUGGACAAACAGCUGUCUGAACAAACAGGUACAGCUGCUCUUUAUUCAUUAAAAGCAGAAUAAUUCUUUUUAUUUUCUACAUUUAGUAAAAACAGUAAAAUAAAUAUCUGAGGUCUUUAGAGACCUGCAGCAAGCUUUCUUCUCCACACUGAACUUAGCUCACCAUGCUAGUAAAUAACAGUUUGAAGUAAAUCAUCAACAGCUCAGUGAGAAGAAACCGA
Molecule: long non-coding RNA, 488 nt
Organism: Oreochromis aureus
Lineage: Eukaryota; Metazoa; Chordata; Actinopteri; Cichliformes; Cichlidae
Exons: 3
Source: RefSeq, a predicted model, not a curated record